Molecule: long non-coding RNA, 884 nt
Organism: Electrophorus electricus (electric eel)
Lineage: Eukaryota; Metazoa; Chordata; Actinopteri; Gymnotiformes; Gymnotidae
Source: RefSeq, a predicted model, not a curated record
ACCCCGGAGCAAAGCAGAGAGCCGUAUUUUUUCAACCCUUCUCUUCUCCUUUUCCUUCCAAUGAGAUUGCUCAAUGCGAAUCACAUAAGAAUUUUAAAUCGCUAAAUUGAAUACAUCGACACUUUCCCCCCUCCUCUGUUUUGACUGAGGUGCGCCCAUAUACAGUACGUUAUGGACUGAUCCACUCGCAGAAGAUAAAGGAGACAUGGGCUGGAGAGGUAGAGGAGCUGACGUCAACUCGUCAUGGCAGAACGCAAUGCAGCGCGCUAGACGAGAGGGAACACUUAAGAAUUCGCUGCUUCAUGUCCACAAAUCAUAUCUCUACUUUGGACGAAGGAAAUCAUUUCCAAUAUGUACUGAUAAGGAAGAGAAGUUUCCAUCUUUUCACACCGGCUCGGACAAGAAGCGACACACGCUGUCAUUCACUUUGUCAAGUGUGCCGUAACUUCCUCCAAAGUUCCAUGAGUAGCCUAAGCCGUAGCAUUAUCUAUAUUGUAAGUAUGUAAUGCUUUCAUGACCAUGACAUACACAUUUGCUGGGAACUUCUGUGCGCUAUUUCACGCAAUAUUGUGAUAUUUUUCUGCAUUGUGUUAGUCGUGUGUUUCGUUAUUCUCUUUACUUGAACGUAUUUUCUAAUACUGUUUAUGUCGCUUUUUCAAAUGAUACCACAAAACCUUUUCGUGAUAUACAUAUUUCUUUUAAUUAUGUACAUCAUUUUCUGCGUUUGGAGAUUGGACCAUUUAUCUUUUAUUAAAUUAUUUUUUUAAGCUAGGAUGUGUGAUUAUCCUGGGCGAUAAAGCUAUGAAGUUAUAAUGAAUCUAACAUAACUGUAAAAUGAUCACGAAUGUUUCAAAUUCAGGGUACAGUAAACAUUUCAAACGACA